Molecule: long non-coding RNA, 556 nt
Organism: Quercus lobata
Lineage: Eukaryota; Viridiplantae; Streptophyta; Magnoliopsida; Fagales; Fagaceae
Exons: 2
Source: RefSeq, a predicted model, not a curated record
GAGAGUCGUCCUGACUCCUGAUUAAAGAGAAGCUUACGGCAAAACUGAUGAAAGGGUCGAAGUUGUCCUCUCUUUUCCUUAUCAACUACUCUCCAAUGCAAACUCAAUUACCAAUACAGAGAAAGAGCCUCAGCUUAAUUUUGGCCUAUAAGUAUGAGAGGCAAGGAAAAGAGAAAGCUGUAAGGAAGAAAGUGAAAGGAUUGAGAGAUUCCGGUCAUAGGAGAGAUGACAGUGGCUGGGUUACAUUAUGUAUGCAUAGUCUCAGCUAGAGCCAUCCUUCUGUGACAUGAAACCCUUCAAUUGCUUCUAAGUGUGACACAAAGAAUGAUAGAUGAUGAUUCAAUUGAGAUGGGAAAGAGAAAUGAGGUUUCAAUGGAGCUUCCUGUUUCAAGAGAGGUGGUACCUAGUGCUCGAAAUACAGCAACAGGCACCACCUCCUUGGACGGGAUCUCCACUCCAACCUCAACUGUGCAUUGCUUCCUAUGGACAUUUCGCAUGUACGUCUUUCUUCUUAUAUCGAUUAGUAUUUUAAUCUAUAAUGUCCACUUUAUGAUAA